Molecule: ribosomal RNA, 253 nt
Filed under: uncultured bacterium
Lineage: Bacteria
Description: partial 16S ribosomal RNA
Rfam family: Bacterial small subunit ribosomal RNA
Source: RNAcentral
UACAGAGGGGGCGAGCGUUAUUCGGAAUUAUUGGGCGUAAAGAGCUCGUAGGCGGUUUGUUGCGUCGGCUGUGAAAUCCCGAGGCUCAACCUCGGGUCUGCAGUCGAUACGAGCAAACUAGAGUGUUGCAGGGGAGACUGGAAUUCCUGGUGUAGCGGUGAAAUGCGCAGAUAUCAGGAGGAACACCGGUGGCGAAGGCGGGUCUCUGGGCAACAACUGACGCUGAGGAGCGAAAGCGUGGGGAGCGAACAGG